AUUGAACGCUGGCGGCAGGCCUAACACAUGCAAGUCGAGCGGAUGGAGGGAGCUUGCUCCUGGAUUCAGCGGCGGACGGGUGAGUAAUGCCUAGGAAUCUGCCUGGUAGUGGGGGAUAACGUCCGGAAACGGGCGCUAAUACCGCAUACGUCCUGAGGGAGAAAGUGGGGGAUCUUCGGACCUCGCGCUAUCAGAUGAGCCUAGGUCGGAUUAGCUAGUUGGUGGGGUAAAGGCCUACCAAGGCGACGAUCCGUAACUGGUCUGAGAGGAUGAUCAGUCACACUGGAACUGAGACACGGUCCAGACUCCUACGGGAGGCAGCAGUGGGGAAUAUUGGACAAUGGGCGAAAGCCUGAUCCAGCCAUGCCGCGUGUGUGAAGAAGGUCUUCGGAUUGUAAAGCACUUUAAGUUGGGAGGAAGGGCAGUAAGUUAAUACCUUGCUGUUUUGACGUUACCAACAGAAUAAGCACCGGCUAACUUCGUG
RNAcentral lists this ribosomal RNA (484 nucleotides) under uncultured bacterium. RNAcentral describes it as "partial 16S ribosomal RNA". It matches the Rfam family "Bacterial small subunit ribosomal RNA", at positions 30 to 507 of the family's 1533-position model. The record is from RNAcentral.